This 1063-nucleotide long non-coding RNA is filed under the name Homo sapiens (human). Its description in RNAcentral is "non-protein coding lnc-PDE7B-8:3". Lineage: Eukaryota; Metazoa; Chordata; Mammalia; Primates; Hominidae. The record is from RNAcentral.
GUCAGGCCUGAGUUAGCUUCGCCAUACGGCGCUUUUCGCUGGUGUCUCUGCCUCGUUCUGAGUAGACCCCCUAGACCUCACCGCCGCCCCUGCGUUUUACCUCAGUAAGCUCGUCUGGUCUGUUCUUUCUGUGGGGCCGGCUCAGACCAGGCAAAAAACAAAAAGACAAUCCCACACUGAGGAAAAGACCAGGAGGCAAGACGUGGCUGUAAUUGCAGACACGCUGCUCCCUCAGCCAGCAAGCGCCACUUUUCCUCUUGGACGCCUAACUGGAGAUUAGAAAAUGUGGCUUUUGGUUUGCUAUUAAAUUCGGCAGACGCACUUAGUUGAAAAAUGGCCACGAUCUAAAUCCCUUUCGUGGCGUCUGAUCAAAUCGGAGCUCAAGCCGCAGCAGCCGGAAACCUCUUAGGCUGCUCGUGCCAAAGAAGGCCGCCCUUCUGGCGGCGUGAUGACAGCUUUACCACAUCGGCAACGUUGGCAUAGGCAUGAAAAAAUAAAGAGCACGAAGCAGUUGAGCUUUCAGCCUGUGACGAUGAUUUGUGGCAGCCGAGGAACACAGCCCAACGUAGCUUGGUUGUCCAGAAUUAUAAGUCAGAUUAUAAAUAGAUGGAACAUCUGAACUAUUUCCGUAUUUGGGGAAAUUGAAGCUGAAGUGGUAUUUGGAGUCUCACUCUUCCCACUCCCUGAAAAUACUGGCAUUGGGAACCCAACAGUAGUAGUGGGAAGCAGGCAGCAGAGGAAACGUGACCAACAGAGAUUCCCUAACUAGAGUGCUGAUGGGGCCGGACUUUGGCUGUAGUUCCUGCUGCAUGGCCUCCAUUUGUGCAUAUCCCUCUACAGGCUUUGUGCUAAUUUCUUUUUUUAAUUUUAAGUGAUAAAAUGUUCAUUGAUUCUUUGAGCUAGCUGGUAUCCUUCCAGUAAAUUUCUUUUCCUGAUGAGUUAAUCAGAAUUGGUUUCUUUUGUUUGCUAAGAACCCUGAACUCCAUGUCACAGUUUUGAGUAGAAGCAGGUCCUAUUUAUGAGGUCAGUUUUCCAAAUGAUCUGGCAUUUUUUUAGAUCUGUA